This 400-nucleotide ribosomal RNA is filed under the name uncultured fungus. RNAcentral describes it as "SSU rRNA". It matches the Rfam family "Eukaryotic small subunit ribosomal RNA", at positions 828 to 1228 of the family's 1831-position model. The record is from RNAcentral. Lineage: Eukaryota; Fungi.
CGUCGGUUCUGUUUUGUUGGUUUCUAGGACCGCCGUAAUGAUCAAUAGGGACGGUCGGGGGCAUCAGUAUUCGGCCGCGAGAGGUGAAAUUCUUAGACCGGCCGAAGACUAACUACUGCGAAAGCAUUUGCCAAGGACGUUUUCGCUGAUCAGGAACGAAAGUUAGGGGAUCGAAGACGAUCAGAUACCGUCGUAGUCUUAACCAUAAACGGUGCCGACUUGGGAUCGGGCGCUGUUCUUUCUAGACGCGCUCGGCACCAUUCGAGAAAUCAAAGUGCGUGGGCUCCAGGGGGAGUAUGGCGGCAACGCUGAAACUUAAAGAAAUUGACGGAAGGGCACCACCAGGGGUGGAACCUGCGGCUUAAUUUGACUCAACACGGGGAAACUCACCAGGUCCAGA